ACGAUAACUCCGCCUGCAGCUCUUUUAUAGUUACUGCCGGUCCCAAGCCCGGGUAAAGGAGGGGGGUUGA
Molecule: non-coding RNA, 70 nt
Filed under: Schistosoma mansoni
Lineage: Eukaryota; Metazoa; Platyhelminthes; Trematoda; Strigeidida; Schistosomatidae
Source: RNAcentral